Molecule: transfer RNA, 74 nt
Filed under: Spirochaetia bacterium
Lineage: Bacteria; Pseudomonadati; Spirochaetota; Spirochaetia
Also listed under: 1 other name
Description: tRNA-Arg
Rfam family: tRNA
About the family: Transfer RNA (tRNA) molecules are approximately 80 nucleotides in length.
Source: RNAcentral
GCCCCAGUAGCUCAGCUGGAUAGAGCGGCGGUUUCCUAAACCGUAGGUCGGAUGUUCGAGUCAUCUCUGGGGCA